Gallus gallus (chicken) is the source of this 2067-nucleotide long non-coding RNA. NCBI's taxonomy places the organism in Eukaryota, Metazoa, Chordata, Aves, Galliformes, Phasianidae. The record is from Ensembl.
CCCACUUCAUUCUUUAAAUUACUUUUCUUUUCCCUUUUUCUCCUUUCUCCUUUAAAAGGUUAAUCCUUUUCCCUUUCCUCUGCUUUCCUAUUUGCUCUUUCUCUCUUGGUUUGAAUAAUUUGAAGGAUAGUGGAGGCAUUGUCUGUUGGGAGUCUGGAGCGGACACAGGUGAUAAAAUAAAAGUUUUUUCUUCUGAUGAGUCUGCAUCUGUAGUUUGCUCAUUGUGGAGGCAUUUAACUUCCUCAGGGUUUAUCCCAAAGGUAUUUGCACCCUGGAGUUUUGCGUUGUUGUUGUUGUUUAAAUAAAGCACAGAAAUAUUUUACAGGAGAAAGCAAAGGUAAGGCAAGUGGAAACGAAGGAGAAAGGCAAGGAGACAAAAAGGAGAAGUAUAUAUAUAUGUAUAACAGAUGACGCACAAGCAAUUGCUCACCACUCCCCAGCCAAUGCCCAGCUAGCCCCCGAGCAGCGGAAGAGAGUGCGAUGCACUCCCACCCCCUUCAAAACUCCUUCCACAUGAUGCCAUAUGGCAUGGAAUGUCCCUUUGGACAAUCUAAGUCAGCUGUCCUCACUCUGUUCCCUCCCAGCUCCUUGGGCUCCUUGCUGCAAAUGGUCUUGGCUUUGUGCAGCACUGCUUAGCAGCCGCUGUAAACAUUGGUGUGUUAUCAGCAGUGGUUUUCUCUUAGAACAAAAACACAGUAUCAUACCAGGCACUCUGAAGAAAACAAUUCCAUCCCAGCUGAAACUUAGACACUGAUAUUCCUGAGCAAGUGGCUGAGCUUGGACAGCUCUGCAGCCAGAAGAAAGCACGAGUUCAGGCAGCAGAUUUUGUUCCCACACAAUGCACCAUUCCUAGCGUUGAUGAAUGUUGGCCCCUCAGCAUGGUGGUCAAGCUUUAAGAGUGAAACUGCAGAUGUCAUUGCUGCUGUCCCUUUUCUUGUGCCAUACGACAUUGGUGCUCGGCUUCCAAAAACAAGCACACCAGACAAGCCAAGCUGUAAUGCUAUCAAGGUUGUUGCAGUCAGUGCUCUCCGAGCCUGAGCAGGGUGACAAAGUGAAAAAGCACAAAGGGACCCUGUUCAUGCUGCUUCCACUGAGUCUUCAUGUUGUGUAGUGCAAGAACAUGUGAGCCAGUAUGUAACAUCCCCCCCCCCCCAAAAAAAAAUAAAAUAGAAAUAAAAAAAUAAAAAGGAGUUCAGCAUUAUGCAGCUCUAUUGCUACACAGUGGGACUGGCAAGCAGCAGUGUCAAUGUGCUGCGGCUCGACAACCCUAGGAAUUUUGCAGUGUGCUUGAGCUCAUUCUACUGCCAGAGCUGGCACUAACUCCCAGCCACUCAAGGUUUGCCUUUCAGUUUGUGGUUCUGCAGUGGCAUUCAGAGCUGGUCUCUGCUGAAUGAAGAACUUCCUGCUGUUUGAUUCCUUAAGAAGAGAUGGCAUUAAGCUGGGUAUGUUAUAAUGUUCAUGAAACUUGAAUGCCAUGUGGUCUGAAAACUACUUGUGGGAGCCCUGCAGGCAGCAGCACUUACAGGCACAAAACACAUGCUGAGUAUUGGCUUUGAAGUACAGUGGAGGUUGUCACUAGACAGUCUUUAAGGUCCCUUCCAACCCAAAUCAUUCUGUGAUUUUGCGAUCCUGUCUAGGUAUUUGUUCUUGAUGUUUUUAAAAGUAGUGGCUUUGCUGAAUGGAGAGGAGAAUCUCUCACUGCCUGAUAGCAGGUGUUUUCUCUCAAAUGUACAACAUCAUCAGAAGUGGUUUUGUGCUUUUUCUGCAACAAGGGUGACUGGAGGCAUCUGGUUAAAUCUCCUUCCAGCUGCAUCUAAAACUGGUGGCCUUGGGUGAUUCCCACAUUUGCCAGUUCAUCUCCGAGCCAAGGCAGGAUCCACCUGGGUAGUGGCAUGUGCUAUUUAUCGCUGGUGGCAAAAGUGGAACCAGUGUGUAACAAAUGACAUGCUGAGCAUUUUGGAAGGGACAGCAUGCUACUGGAACACAGUGCUGGAUUGGAGAUAGUGUCUGAGAGCUGAGUGUGAGUGCAAAGGUGGGCUCUAUCCUGCAAUGAUCGCAGUUUUGUCA